CAGUAGCCGCGGUAAUACGGAGGAUCCAAGCGUUAUCCGGAUUUAUUGGGUUUAAAGGGUGCGUAGGCGGCCUGUUAAGUCAGGGGUGAAAGACGGUAGCUUAACUAUCGCAGUGCCCUUGAUACUGAUGGGCUUGAAUGUACUAGAGGUAGGCGGAAUGUGACAAGUAGCGGUGAAAUGCAUAGAUAUGUCACAGAACACCAAUUGCGAAGGCAGCUUACUAUGGUAUGAUUGACGCUGAGGCACGAAAGCGUGGGGAUCAAACAGGAUUAGAUACCCCCGUAGUCCCUGUCUCUUAUAC
Molecule: ribosomal RNA, 301 nt
Filed under: uncultured bacterium
Lineage: Bacteria
Description: partial 16S ribosomal RNA
Rfam family: Bacterial small subunit ribosomal RNA
Source: RNAcentral